AGAGUUUGAUCCUGGCUCAGGAUGAACGCUGACAGAAUGCUUAACACAUGCAAGUCGAUUCRAKUUACCUUCGGGUAWYGAGGAUGGCGGACGGGUGAGUAACGCGUAAGGAACUUGCCUCUUGGUCUGGGACAACUGUUGGAAACGACAGCUAAUACCGGAUAUUAUGAGAUUCUCGCAUGGGAAACUUAUGAAAGCUAUAUGCGCCAAGAGAGAGCCUUGCGUUCCAUUAGCUAGUUGGUGGGGUAACGGCCCACCAAGGCGACGAUGGAUAGCCGGCCUGAGAGGGUGAACGGCCACAAGGGGACUGAGACACGGCCCUUACUCCUACGGGAGGCAGCAGUGGGGAAUAUUGGACAAUGGGCCACAAGCCUGAUCCAGCAAUUCUGUGUGCACGAUGAAGGUCUUCGGAUUGUAAAGUGCUUUCAGUUGGGAAGAAGAAAGUGACGGUACCAACAGAAGAAGCGACGGCUAAAUACGUGCCAGCAGCCGCGGUAAUACGUAUGUCGCAAGCGUUAUCCGGAUUUAUUGGGCGUAAAGCGCGUCUAGGCGGAAAAAUAAGUCUGAUGUUAAAAUGCGGGGCUCAACUCCGUAUUGCGUUGGAAACUGUUUUUCUAGAGUACUGGAGAGGUGGGCGGAACUACAAGUGUAGAGGUGAAAUUCGUAGAUAUUUGUAGGAAUGCCGAUGGAGAAGUCAGCUCACUGGACAGAUACUGACG
RNAcentral lists this ribosomal RNA (719 nucleotides) under uncultured microorganism. RNAcentral describes it as "bacterial SSU rRNA". It matches the Rfam family "Bacterial small subunit ribosomal RNA", at positions 8 to 745 of the family's 1533-position model. The record is from RNAcentral.